Molecule: ribosomal RNA, 253 nt
Filed under: uncultured bacterium
Lineage: Bacteria
Description: partial 16S ribosomal RNA
Rfam family: Bacterial small subunit ribosomal RNA
Source: RNAcentral
UACGGAGGGUGCGAGCGUUGUCCGGAUUUAUUGGGUUUAAAGGGUGCGUAGGUGGGUUAAUAAGUCAGUGGUGAAAUACGGUUGCUCAACAAUCGAGGUGCCAUUGACACUGUUAAUCUUGAAACAAGUGGAGGUUGCCGGAAUGGAUGGUGUAGCGGUGAAAUGCAUAGAUAUCAUCCAGAACACCGAUUGCGAAGGCAGGUGACUACGUUUGAUUUGACACUGAGGCACGAAAGCAUGGGGAGCAAACAGG